CUUUGAUAAAAUUCUGGUGCAGCUCCACCACUGAUUUUCCGGCAACUGGUGGUCCGGCACCUCCUUGAAUCCGGACAAAAUACGAGAGCGCAUUUGAAAUCUCCCCCGGA
Long non-coding RNA from Amblyraja radiata (thorny skate), 110 nucleotides. RefSeq lists it as uncharacterized. The record is from RefSeq and is a predicted model, not a curated record. Lineage: Eukaryota; Metazoa; Chordata; Chondrichthyes; Rajiformes; Rajidae. The transcript has 3 exons.